RNAcentral lists this ribosomal RNA (393 nucleotides) under uncultured bacterium. RNAcentral's name for it is "partial 16S ribosomal RNA". It matches the Rfam family "Bacterial small subunit ribosomal RNA", at positions 523 to 918 of the family's 1533-position model. The record is from RNAcentral.
AUACGGAGGAUCCAAGCGUUAUCCGGAUUUAUUGGGUUUAAAGGGAGCGUAGGCGGAUUAUUAAGUCAGUUGUGAAAGUUUGCGGCUCAACCGUAAAAUUGCAGUUGAUACUGGUAGUCUUGAGUGCAGCAGAGGUAGGCGGAAUUCGUGGGGUAGCGGGGAAAUGCUUAGAUAUCACGAAGAACUCCGAUUGCGAAGGCAGCUUACUGGACUGUAACUGACGCUGAUGCUCGAAAGUGUGGGUAUCAAACAGGAUUAGAUACCCUGGUAGUCCACACAGUAAACGAUGAAUACUCGCUGUUUGCGAUAUACAGCAAGCGGCCAAGCGAAAGCAUUAAGUAUUCCACCUGGGGAGUACGCCGGCAACGGUGAAACUCAAAUGAAUGGACGGGG